CCUACGGGCGGCAGCAGUGGGGAAUAUUGGACAAUGGGGGCAACCCUGAUCCAGCCAUGCCGCGUGUGUGAAGAAGGCCCUCGGGUUGUAAAGCACUUUCAGUGAGGAAGAACGCCUGGUGGUUAAUACCCAUCAGGAAAGACAUCACUCACAGAAGAAGCACCGGCUAACUCCGUGCCAGCAGCCGCGGGAAUACGGAGGGUGCGAGCGUUAAUCGGAAUUACUGGGCGUAAAGCGCGCGUAGGUGGCUUGAUAAGCCGGUUGUGAAAGCCCCGGGCUCAACCUGGGAACGGCAUCCGGAACUGUCAAGCUAGAGUGCAGGAGAGGAAGGUAGAAUUCCCGGUGUAGCGGUGAAAUGCGUAGAGAUCGGGAGGAAUACCAGUGGCGAAGGCGGCCUUCUGGACUGACACUGACACUGAGGUGCGAAAGCGUGGGUAGCAAACAGGAUUAGAUACCCGAGUAGUC
Molecule: ribosomal RNA, 465 nt
Filed under: Vreelandella stevensii
Lineage: Bacteria; Pseudomonadati; Pseudomonadota; Gammaproteobacteria; Oceanospirillales; Halomonadaceae
Description: partial 16S ribosomal RNA
Rfam family: Bacterial small subunit ribosomal RNA
Source: RNAcentral